UACGGAGGGUGCAAGCGUUAUCCGGAUUUACUGGGUUUAAAGGGUGCGCAGGCGGAUAUGUAAGUCAGUGGUGAAAUCUCUGGGCUUAACCCGGAAAUUGCCAUUGAUACUAUAUAUCUUGAAUGUUGUGGAGGUAAGCGGAACAUGUCAUGUAGCGGUGAAAUGCUUAGAUAUGACAUAGAACACCUAUUGCGAAGGCAGCUUACUACGCAGAUAUUGACGCUCAUGCACGAAAGCGUGGGGAUCAAACAGG
RNAcentral lists this ribosomal RNA (253 nucleotides) under uncultured bacterium. Its description in RNAcentral is "partial 16S ribosomal RNA". It matches the Rfam family "Bacterial small subunit ribosomal RNA", at positions 524 to 776 of the family's 1533-position model. The record is from RNAcentral.